This 182-nucleotide non-coding RNA is filed under the name Myxococcales bacterium. RNAcentral describes it as "6S RNA". It matches the Rfam family "6S / SsrS RNA". Rfam says of the family: E. coli 6S RNA was the first non coding RNA to be sequenced, but its function was unknown until recently. The record is from RNAcentral. Lineage: Bacteria; Pseudomonadati; Myxococcota; Myxococcia; Myxococcales.
GCCGAGCUGGUCGCUCGCCGCCGCAGGCCCAAAGUUCUACCUACAUUUCGUUCAACCAGGGAGCCGCCUCUGAUCGCAGGUGCGCAGGCUCGUUCGACGAGAAGCCCGACGGGGUUAUCGUGGCGCCCACCUACUUGUGUAGGGGUUGAACUUCAAGCCUGCAGCGAGCGACCGGCUCGCUU